RNAcentral lists this ribosomal RNA (578 nucleotides) under uncultured fungus. RNAcentral's name for it is "eukaryotic LSU rRNA". The stretch from base 226 to 379 matches the Rfam family "5.8S ribosomal RNA". The record is from RNAcentral. Lineage: Eukaryota; Fungi.
AGAGGAAGUAAAAGUCGUAACAAGGUCUCCGUAGGUGAACCUGCGGAGGGAUCAUUACCGAGUUCAUGCCCUUACGGGUAGACCUCCCACCCUAUGUUAUAUUACCUUUGUUGCUUUGGCGGGCCGCCCGGCUUCGGCCAGGCUACCGGCUCCAGCUGGUAAGCGCUCGCCAGAGGACCCUCAACUCUGAAUAUCAGUGUCGUCUGAGUACUAUAAAAUAGUUAAAACUUUCAACAACGGAUCUCUUGGUUCUGGCAUCGAUGAAGAACGCAGCGAAAUGCGAUAAGUAAUGUGAAUUGCAGAAUUCAGUGAAUCAUCGAAUCUUUGAACGCACAUUGCGCCCCUUGGUAUUCCGAGGGGCAUGCCUGUUCGAGCGUCAUUACAACCCUCAAGCACUGCUUGGUAUUGGGCUCCGCUGGCUCCAGCGGGCCUUAAAAUCAGUGGCGGCGCCGUUUGGGCUCUGAGCGUAGUAAAUAUCCUCGCUAUAGAGACCAGGCGGUUCUUGUCAUCAACCCCCAACUUUCUAAGUUUGACCUCGGAUCAGGUAGGGAUACCCGCUGAACUUAAGCAUAUCAAUA